RNAcentral lists this ribosomal RNA (261 nucleotides) under uncultured bacterium. Its description in RNAcentral is "partial 16S ribosomal RNA". It matches the Rfam family "Bacterial small subunit ribosomal RNA", at positions 793 to 1055 of the family's 1533-position model. The record is from RNAcentral.
GUCCACGCCUUAAACGAUGAGAGCUAGUUGUCAGUAGGCAUGCCUAUUGGUGACGCAGCUAACGCAUUAAGCUCUCCGCCUGGGGAGUACGGCCGCAAGGUUAAAACUCAAAGAAAUUGACGGGGGCCCCGCACAAGCGGUGGAGCAUGUGGUUUAAUUCGAAGCAACGCGCAGAACCUUACCCACGUUUGACAUCCCGUGCUACCUAGAGAGAUCUAGGGUCCCUUCGGGGCGCGGAGACAGGUGCUGCAUGGCUGUCGU